UACGUAGGGGCCAAGCGGUGUCCGGAUUUAUUGGGCGUAAAGAGCGUGUAGGCGGCCAAGCAGGUCAGCUGUGAAAACUCGAGGCUCAACCUCGAGACGUCGGUUGAAACCGCUUGGCUAGAGUCCGGAAGAGGAGAGUGGAAUUCCCGGUGUAGCGGUGAAAUGCGCAGAUAUCGGGAAGAACACCCGUGGCGAAGGCGGCUCUCUGGGACGGUACUGACGCUGAGACGCGAAAGCGUGGGGAGCGAACAGG
RNAcentral lists this ribosomal RNA (253 nucleotides) under uncultured bacterium. RNAcentral's name for it is "partial 16S ribosomal RNA". It matches the Rfam family "Bacterial small subunit ribosomal RNA", at positions 524 to 776 of the family's 1533-position model. The record is from RNAcentral.